AUCACAUUGGAUUACCGUUUUUAAAGAAAAGUAAAAUGUCCUGACGCCAUUUACCUUCUCUUGCAAAUUACGCUCUAACUUGUACAAUGUCUUAAGCUGUUUACUUGCAGAGCACCAACACAUGAGAUCUGUGUUUAAUGUUUAUACGUAGCAGUAUGCGUGAGUGUGUUUAUGGGUGUCUAUGUGUGUGUCCACGGAUAGGGAUGAGAGAGAAAGAAAGAGAGAGAGGAAAAAUGUCACAUGGAUCAAAUGGGAAAGAGCUUAAGCGUAUUCUCAGGUAAGAAAGAAAAUUUUCAAAGUAUGUGCAGCAAAUUCAAUAGAGAUUUCUACAAGUAUGGAAUGGCCAGGGAUGGAGCAAGUAUGCCAGGAAAAGGAUGUAUUUGGAAAUGCAUUAGGGCUCUGUCUAUAUUGUGACAUAGAUCCUUGCAAAGGAAUGAUCCCGGCUCUGGGACAAAUAUCGCGUGGUAUCUCACAUCCAUAUUUACUACUGCUUGCACUGCUUGGAGUAGAUCAGAUGGCACCUAGAGCGAACUCAGAAUAUCCUACAAUCCUUGAUUUUUCCCUCCACGCCUCUGCAGUGCGACAGAUACCCCACACCCUCCAUUUGCUUGCUCUAGGCAUGACAUAGCUCCAUAUCAAUAGACUCUUCAAAGAGGCUAAAGGGCAGGCACACCAGCAACCUCUGUUGGGUUCUUUCUGUGAGGUGUCACCUGCUGCUCUGCCUGCUGUUACUGCUCUUGCGGUCUCUGAUUUUCUGUUUGCACUCAUGAUUUUUUCUGGAUUGGCCUCAUUCUCUGAAUGAGGCCACACAAGCCACCUUCUUCUGAAGGUACCAGCCCUGCAGGAGAAACUGUCAUUUCAGACCUCCAGGACAUGAAUGGCAACAACUGCCAGCACUGAUCACUGAUGGGAUGAGACUGUACUAUGUACUCAGCAUAAGCAUAAGCAGCAGUAAAUUCAGCACUUCAGAAUCUGAAGGGCCAAAUCAGAAGGUCUCUGUAAGGGUGUGAUAUCAAGCAUCUCCAUUUCAGGCACCAAUACAAGUGGAGAAGACGCUCAUGGUUGCCCUCUGCAGUCUCAUCAUUUCUGCCUCUUACUUACUGGAGGAGAGAGGGAUACUAAGCCUUUGUGUGCAGAAAGGCCCGGAGCAGCAGGGGUAUGAACAACCCUAGAAGAAGAGGUUGGUACCACUCCUGUUUUACUUUUUUCUGCUGCAGGAACAGCCUUCUCUGGAGAACAGAGAAGACAAAUUGCUGCACUUUCAUGCCAUUUUCUCCCUGGAGCUAGACCAGAACUUCAAUUUGCCUAUGCAGACGCUUUCCAGAAUUUCACCGAGAACUCAUUGCCACAUUAUGGAGAUGCCUGGGAUCAAAUAUUUCCCUCUGGAUAACUUUAAAAGGAAAAAAAAAAAAAAAAAGCAAGGGUAUCAGUCACUGGGGAUUUCUACAGAUACAAACACACUGUGCACUUGCCUAAACUGUACCUUUCUGCAGACACCUGCAUCCCAAAACUGAAUUUUGCAAAUGAAUUUGGGUGUUGGGCUAGACUCAAAACUUAUGCAGAACUGGAGGAUGGCUUGGAGAAGAGAUCAGGAUGGGAUGUCCCAGGUACUGGCAAGUGUCUCGAGGCCUGGUGAGGAAGGGAGUAUUUCUGUGGUUUUAAGUGCUGAUAGGAGCAUCCCUGUAACAGCCUGCACGGUGAAGGCCACGGGAGGAGAGGCAAUUGGCUGUGUGUGCCAUGAAAGUCAGUUUCCCUGCUGCGUCUUUGUAGCCUAUAUUGAGUGAAGAGCAGGCUGAGACCUCAAGAAGCCUCGCAGGCUCCUUGUAAAGUAGAGGAUGCCUUUGAGAAGAAUGAAGGGACAUUGCUGUUUUUCACUCUGCAGCUGCAGAGACCUGUACAACUGCCCAUAUAGAUCCAGCAUUUUUAUUGUAUAAUCCAGUGCGCUACCAAGCUAUGCUGAUCACUGUAGGCGGCCCCUUAUUGAAGUGCAACUGCCUGGAGUUUUUCCUGUAGGAAAAAUGUGUUUACCCCACCCAUGUCAGGUGGUCAUGCACCUGGUCUGCCAUGGCUGUAGUGUUCUGAGAAGAAGUUUCAGGGACCCUUGAUGGUAGCUAGUGGAAGACAUCCAUGCCCACACCCCGAUCCUGCUCCUGUGUCCAGAGGUUCCCCUUUAUAGUGAUAUGAGCAAUAUCCAUCUCACCUUGGGUUACGAGGGAAUACUCUAAUCCCUGAUCCUCGUUCCACUUUACUGAAGCAUGAAGUGUGCAGUGUCUUCUUUGAGCUCCACACGGUCUCUCCAUGGACAGACACAGAGCAAUGUCCUGUGCUGAGGUGAAAGAUGAAGGCGGUACCUCGCUUAACCUUGUGCUGGGACUGACUUGAGCAGACGAGCUGGAAAAAUAAACGAAAGGGAUGCUGAGGAGGUUGGGGGUGUUGCAGGUUACCUCAGUCAGUACAGUGACAAGUAAGCCUACGAAAUACCACUACAGCCACAUACGGUUGCUGCCUCUAAGUCUAUGUGGGAUGGUAGGGGUCUGAGGUAUGGGCAGCACCACUUUGAAAGUGAUCCCCAAGUCUUUUGAUUUGUGCAAGUGAGAUACUGAGGUGCGUUAAGCAUGUUUGCGGAUGACUGUUGGAGUUGGUCUUGAUUGAGAAACACACUUGUGUGCAUGCUGUGACAGCUGGUUGGCAGUCAUUUAAGCUGUGUCACACAGAAAUGUGAUUCCCAGGCUGUGAUGUGCCUGGAAGUCAAACAGGAAGUAAGUCAGUGUCAGAUAAAGAGGCGCCUCAAUAUAUAAUUGUCACACGGAAUAUGUCCCCUAAGCUUGCUUCAUGACCUGUCUUCUUCCUCUCCUCCUCAUCCUCAAGCAAGUAGGAGAAAAAGUUAUCAUUGACCAGAAUGACCAGACUGCUGCAGUGACAACUCUGAGAAGAUUUGGGAAUACAUACCCACUCCCCCUGUCCUGUUCUUUGCCCUCACAAGCAGGUGCUGAGAGGUGGAGACUGGCAUCUUGAACCCCUCCAGCUUUGUUAUGCAGCUCCAGACCAACGGUUAUACCUGGUCUCUAACGAGCUCAUACAGCUCAAGACAGUGAAUAAAGAUAUGCCAAGAGA
Struthio camelus australis is the source of this 3114-nucleotide non-coding RNA. The record is from RefSeq and is a predicted model, not a curated record. NCBI's taxonomy places the organism in Eukaryota, Metazoa, Chordata, Aves, Struthioniformes, Struthionidae.